GCUCUGGAGAAGCUCACACAAGCUGUGAGGGCCGAAGGUGCAAGGCGCUGAAAGACAAACGAAGGCGCCAAAUCUCUCAGGCAAAAGGACAGGGUCG
RNAcentral lists this non-coding RNA (97 nucleotides) under bovine gut metagenome. Its description in RNAcentral is "Glycine riboswitch". It matches the Rfam family "Glycine riboswitch aptamer", at positions 9 to 86 of the family's 94-position model. From Rfam's summary of the family: This family represents the bacterial glycine riboswitch. Glycine riboswitches usually consist of two metabolite-binding aptamers domains with similar structures in tandem. The record is from RNAcentral.